Molecule: long non-coding RNA, 920 nt
Organism: Ictalurus punctatus (channel catfish)
Lineage: Eukaryota; Metazoa; Chordata; Actinopteri; Siluriformes; Ictaluridae
Exons: 3
Source: RefSeq, a predicted model, not a curated record
UCCAGGGUGUACAAACAGUAUGUGUACAUGCAGUGACUGAUUAACAGGCAUGCAGUGACUAACUAAGCACUUUCCCUUCUAGGAUCUAUAGAAGCAAGAAAUAUAUUACCAACCCCAGUCCUCGGCCCAGAAGAGGUUAAAGGCAACAGAUUUCUUCAUCCAUUUCUUUAUCUAGACAGCAAAUUUAAGGAUCAGUGGGAAUUCAGCCAUUAGGUAGUGGACAUGUUCAAUACAUCUACAGAGAGAUGGUCUUCAUUAACAACAAAGACACCCCAUUCACCUGCAAGUCUCUCCAAUCUUGUUAACCAUUACAAAAAGUCACUCAAUGCUGUUUUUCUCUCUAAGAGUGGCCUCCAUCAUGACCCUAACCAGUGUGAAGUUGUUACUGAAGAUAAAUGAAUCAAUGAAUGACAUUUUUUAUUGCUCAUUCUUAUCAGGCCCAGACUGACCAUCGGGAGCACCAGGAGAAUUCCUGUUGGCCUGACGACUGAUUUUCCCCGCUGCCCUGCUGUUUUUGUUUAUUUAUUUACUUACAUACUUACUUACUUAAUUGUUAUAAUUUUAUAUUAUUGCAUGUCCACUGUACUCAAGUGAUCCUUUCUGAAUUCUGCAUUCGAUAAUAAAUUAAUAAUAAAUCGGGAAUCUGUUAAUCUUGACUUGCAAUGCUACCAUUCUCCCCAGCUCUGGCUCCGGUUUGGAACAUUACUGAGCCAUCACUGCACAGAGGAUGGAGAGGAAGUGGCCUGGUGAAGCAGAGAGGGAAAGGCCAGGCAAGAGGAAAGCCCCCUAAACAUAAGCAGCGAAAUGUAGCAAAAAUACUGACCUGUUCAGUUCUUCAAGUGCAGUGGAGAGAGUCAGCCUGGCACUAGCUCUGGUGCAGUGGUCACACUUGAGGGUCAACCUGAGAUGACAGGUAAGAG